RNAcentral lists this ribosomal RNA (402 nucleotides) under uncultured bacterium. RNAcentral describes it as "bacterial SSU rRNA". It matches the Rfam family "Bacterial small subunit ribosomal RNA", at positions 355 to 774 of the family's 1533-position model. RNAcentral also lists the same sequence under 1 other name. The record is from RNAcentral.
UGGGGAAUAUUGGACAAUGGGGGCAACCCUGAUCCAGCCAUGCCGCGUGAGUGAUGAAGGCCUUAGGGUUGUAAAGCUCUUUCGCUAGGGAAGAUAAUGACGGUACCUAGAGAAGAAGCCCCGGCUAACUUCGUGCCAGCAGCCGCGGUAAUACGAAGGGGGCUAGCGUUGUUCGGAAUUACUGGGCGUAAAGCGCACGUAGGCGGACAUUUAAGUCAGGGGUGAAAUCCCAGGGCUCAACCCUGGAACUGCCUUUGAUACUGGGUGUCUUGAGUACGAGAGAGGUGAGUGGAAUUCCGAGUGUAGAGGUGAAAUUCGUAGAUAUUCGGAAGAACACCAGUGGCGAAGGCGGCUCACUGGCUCGUAACUGACGCUGAGGUGCGAAAGCGUGGGGAGCAAACA